GCGUCCAUCGUCUAAUGGAUAGGACAGAAGUCUUCUAAACUUCUGGUAUAGGUUCAAAUCCUAUUGGACGUG
Molecule: transfer RNA, 72 nt
Filed under: Phlegmariurus squarrosus
Lineage: Eukaryota; Viridiplantae; Streptophyta; Lycopodiopsida; Lycopodiales; Lycopodiaceae
Also listed under: 1 other name
Description: tRNA-Arg
Rfam family: tRNA
About the family: Transfer RNA (tRNA) molecules are approximately 80 nucleotides in length.
Source: RNAcentral